UUUUUUUUUUUUUUUUUUGCAAAAUGUAGUUAUCAAGAUUCGAACUCAAGACCUUUGUAAUAAAAGACCAAUGUAGUAACCGUUGCACUAUCACAUCUUAUUAAUUUUUUUUGAUAACUUAUUUAUAUAAAACAAAUACUCAUAUUUCUUUUGUUCCAUUUUUUUUACAAAAUAUCAUCCUUUCAUGACUCUUUCUUUUUAAUCUUCAACACACACACACACAUACACACACUCUCUCUCUAUCAUCUUUUCUUUUGCCACUCAUUUUUUAAUCAAACCUCUUUAUUUUUAAUUUAUUGAUGUUUUCUUCCAUAUUUUAAUUUUGUUUUUGUCCAUUAAAUUUAAAAAAGUUAAAAAAGAAUUAUUUUUCUUUAACCCAAUUUAUUUAAUACCACAACCACUCACUUUUAUCUAAUUUUUUGUUUCUUAUCAAAUUUGCAUUUCUAUUUUCAAUUCUCUUGAUUUUCUUCGAACUCCAAAUUUCCUUUUUUAAAUUGUAAAUUUAAAUUCCAAAAUGUAAAUUAAAAUUUAAGUUCACAAUGUCUAAAUUCUCAUAGACGUGAAUUUUGUAUAAUUUCAAAUAUUGUGAUAUUUUUGGAUUAUAUUUAAGAUUUUUUUGGUAGAUAUAAUUGAAAUUGAGAUGAAAUUUAUUUGUUUUAACUUAUAAUUUAAAAAAUUUAUUUUUAAAAAUCCAAGUUAUUCAAAAAUAGUAAACUUUUCAUCAUAUAAAGUAUUAAAUUAUCCAUUACAUGUCUUAUUUUGUGCACAUAUAUAUUUAUAUAAAUUAUUUUUUAAAAAAUUCAUUGAACCGAGGUUGAACCGGUCCGACCGGUUGAAUCUCGACCCUUUCACUUCACCGGUUCGAUUAACGGUCCGGUUUUUAAAACAUUGGUAAUUAGAGCUAGAUGACAGAUUUGAAGGCAUUAUGGAUCUUCUGAGGUUUGAUUACAGAUUUGAUUUUUUUUUUUAUAGACUAUCCUUUAUUAUUAUUAUUAUUAAGAAGGAAGACUCCACACCUCAUGCGGAAGUGAGAGUUGAACCAAAAAUCUUAUGAUCACCUACCUAAGAUCCAUAUUAAUAAGUUAAAUCUUGGGACCUUCUCAAUUUCUUCAUUCAAUCCAAAUUAUGAUUUCGAUAGAAUUAUAGCUUUUUCUUGAAUAAAAUAUAUUGUCUUACUAGCUUAGAUUUUUCCAUGAUUUGAAACUUGAAGCUAAACAAAAUUCUCUCAAGUGCUUAAGAAAUAAGACGGGUUAUACCGGAACCAAAAAUUUCAAAAAGUCAACCGGAUAAAAUCUUUAAAAAUUUGUUUUACUUUAAAAUUCAAUAACUAAUACAUUUCAUUCAUUUAAUUUUCUUUCCUCUUCAAAUUAUUAUACAUUUUCAAGAUCUUUAAAAAAGUUGGGUUAUAUCUGAACCAAAAAUUUCAAAAAAUCAACUGGAUAAAAUCUUUAAAAAUUAGUUUUACUUUAAACUUCAAUAACUAAUACAUUCAUUUCAUUUAAUUUUCUUUCCUCUUUAAAUUAUUAUACAUUUUCAAGAUCUUUAAAGUGUUUGGGACGCGUAAUUGGAUUUUCCGGUGCCUGAAUAUUUGCCAUCUUUGAAAAGGCGAAGCAUAAUUUUCAUUCUUUUUAUUUCUAUUCCUUGUUUUUGAAAAAAAAAAAAAAAAUCCUAGCAGGAGAAGGAUGGGAUUUAAGAAGUGAAGAGGGGAAGGGGAAUUAGAAUUGAGUACUCCUAAUGUUUCAACUUUAACCAUUAGUCCCUUGUUUAUUUUACAUCAUCUUACUCUAAUUUUUCAGAAUUUGAAUUGUGAAAGUUAAAAAGGAAGUUCUUUCGACAACAACUAACUCCACACUAGCAAUCAUUCCGAGAAACAACUCUUUGGGUCUAAGGAAAUAUUUACUUAAAGUUAGAGGGCUAAAAGUCGAUCAGUCUAAUAAUUUUAGUGCCAAACAGAUUUUUUUUUUUUUUUGCCCAUUUUGCAAUUUAAUAAAUGGGAAACAUUACCUUAUGAAGAGUGAAGUGUCCUUUUAUAAGUUUAAGGAGCAAAAAUAUGCACUUAAUAGUUGGAAAGAUUCGAGGGACAUCCAGAUUUUUUGCCUAUUUUUCAAUUUAACAAAUGGGAAACAUCGUUGUCACAUUGUCAAGUUUUCUCACAAGGUCAUUGAUUGUGUUCUCUUUGUUGCAAGAUGUUCCACAAUACCGUUACUUGCUGUUAAUGAUCUUUUUUUUUUAAAAAUCAAAUACUAGAGCUAGGUUACAACAAAUUUGAAGAAAAUUUUCAUGAUUAAGUAGACUAUAUGAAAAUAGGAUCAAUCUAAUAGUACAUACACUAUCGGGUUUGAAUGCGUGGUACAUGUGCAGAAUUUGGAUUAAAAAUCAUAUUGACAUUAGUUGUCAUGCAUCCAAAUUAAAUAGUAUAUAGACGACCAUUUGGAUUAACCUAAUGGUUAGGAGAUGACUCUUAGAGCUCUCCCACUAUUAGAUUCAAGGGAUCCAAAUUGAAUAGUAUAUAGACGACCAUUUGGAUUAACCUAAUGGUUAGGAGAGGACUCUCAGAGCUUCUCUCACUGUUAGAUUCAGGGUUUAAAUCCUAGAUUUUGCAAUUAAGGGUGAGAAGGGUUGUAUGGAUCGGUGGGAGGUUUAAAAAAAAAAAAAAAAAAGCCUAGUAGUUGAGGCUGGGAAGGAUUGUAGGGACGAUUUUUAAGGAAAGGGUUGAGUUUGGGAAGGGACCGAAAAACAUGUCCAAAGCUUGCUGCCAUUGGUGCGUGCCCACUAAAAUUGGUGCCACCAUGCAGUAUUCAGCAAAGCUAAAACGGUGCUAAACACAACGGAACAGGUGUUUUUUGAGUUUAUGUAGGCAUACUAAACUCUUGAAUCUGCCCAGCACCUGACCCCCUCAAGUUACCACAUUGCUAGUGGAAUAACUAUAUUGGCCCAAUUUCAGGAGCUGUUGAGUUUUUAUAGACAUAUUAUUGUACCUAUGUUAAGAUCAUGAAGAAAAGGACAACCUAAAACUUAAUUUGAUAGCCACUCUUUUAUGAAAUUUUCAAAAAGAUUGCCAUACAAUUCAACUCUGCAAAAUGCAUGUCAAAAUGAAGUUUUUUCAACUUAAAUGUAAUUUAUACAACAAAACAUGCAAAGGGACAAGUACAAUUGAAUACGGAAUCCCAAAAAACUCAUGAGUUUUGCUGUGCUUUUAUACGUUAAACAAUUGUCAACGAAUAUACAGAAACUGAUAUAUAAAUGUUGCCUGACAAAAAUGUGUACAAACUGCAGAAUAAGAGAAGGGUUUCCCACUGUACAGAUUUACGCGAAUUUGUGAGAACAUACAUCACAAAACAGGAGUAACAGCUUGAACUGAAGAUGGUUGCAAGCAGCGGAUUCUGAUGUCAUACUUUCUUUGGCUAGAGCUUUCACUGUUGGAGGAAAAAUCCGAUUCGUUUGUUACAAGAGCAGCAUUAUCUUCAUAAGCAUCUCCAAUGUGAUUACCACAGUUACGGCACAGCAGUUUCAUUUUCCGGUGGAGCAAACCCCAUGAGUGCUUGAAGAUAAAAUUGGGUACACACUUUAACACUUCAACUUGAGUAAAUCUGGAUUCAUCGAUGUAGAAGAAGGAUAUUAUCCCUUUCUUUAUGGAUUUAUCAUACUUUGAUCCGAUUUUGGAGGUAUUGCGGCUGGAAGAGCUCAAGUUCAGCUCAUAGCCACAAGAGCCACAGCUGCACAACAAACAAUCUUGUAAGUGCAAUGUUUGAAGACCAUCAGAUAGGACAUGGAAUACUUUCAAGAAAAGGAAAGAAAGGACAAAAUAAAAAAGCAUGCUAACAAAUUCCAGCUGCAUUUAAAACAGAAUCUUCGAUUCUAUAAAAGAGACCACCACACUUACAAACCUCAGCACUUUCAGGACUAUAUGUACGUGUAUACAACAUUGGCUACAAAAAUUUCAGGAAAACACAGUAAAUUCCAUUAGGGAGAGUACCAAGAGAAACAGAAAAAAUGGAAAAAUUGGUUCAAAUAAGACACAUUUACAAGGUUUCCAUAUGUUAAAAUAGAUUUAUUUUGAAGCUUCCAAAAAGUGCACCACCAUGUCUUGCUUCAGACAGAAAUCACCAUUGGGCUUCAUGAUGUUCUUCUCUUAGAAAAUGACAUAAUCAGACAUUCCAAAAUGCUAAGUUUCUAACCCCAUGCUCAAAAAGCCAACAUCAAGCAUAAAGGCUGGGUCCUACAGAUAUUCUUACAACUGACAGUUCUUACAUUUGACAAGUCCACAUGCACUCUGGUAGCUGCAGAUCAAAGGAGGAUUUUCCCCAUCCAUAUGAUCAACGUACCUGACAUGGCUCUCCCCACGAAAUAAGAUAUUCAUUUUUAGACCUUUCAAAACCCAAAGUUGCAUAGUUGCCUGCUAACCUACCUCAUCAUCUUAUUACUCUACUGAUCAAAUAAACAAGUUCUCGCCACAAUCUACACAGCACUUCUCUAAGUGCUUAAUAGCAUGUCCACAGCCUUGAAUAAGUUCUCUCUUUCCUCACUACAAGACACACUCCAACCUAAAUCCCAGCUAAGAUACCCCUCUGACUGACCAGCAUAACCCCAAGUAAAACAAGUUCAAAUGUCUGUUGUGAAUUGACAGCAAGAUUAUCCAAACACUCAUAGACAGAUGUUUGACACUUUUUUAACCGUGAAAGACAUGUAGGAAGUAGGAUGUCUUUCAAAUUUGUGUGGAUUUCUUUCAAAGAUAUAAUUUGAUUUGAAAGUCAAAUUAAAGUUCCUCUAACAAAAAAUCAUAUCAAGAAGUUGAAAAAAGUAGCUUGGUACAAAAUACAUCAUCUAAAAUGAAAAGACAUGAAAAAUUGAAGCAAUAGCAGGAACUAUCUCAUACACAAAUAUUCAACCUCUAUCCAAGUUUUUUUACUUUGACUAGAUGAUUAUUUCAAAGGUCAACAAUAAGAAAAAGGAAGAAAAAAUUGUAGGACACUAUCAGGCAUUCCAAUUCAAAGUUAUUUUUUGUUUCAGACAUUCAUUGAAGCAUUAUCAGACAUUGAGAAGGGAAAGAAAGAUACAAUAGCUUUACAGCUAUACAUGUGGUAUUAAUUGUGUAAUUGGAGCUUGCAAGAGAUAAAAUCAAUUUUCAAGGCAGAAAUAAAGCAUCAAGAAAGAAAUAUCAUAGUGGAAAGAACCAGGUAUUGGUGCAACUGUAUCAAAGCUGAGUUCUUUGAUAAGAAUUUUAUUACAAGCAUGAGAAGUUCAUCAAUUUAAUAAGAUUUCUAACAUAGUAAAAGCAAUAGAAAAGUUAAAACACAAUCUGCAGUUUCACUCUUCAAGAGAAAAGAUAAUGAAAAUGUGGAAUCGAAUCAAAAUUCCUCAAACAAAUCUAGAAGAACUGUGAUAUUGGUAAAAGAGAGAAUUGACAAAAUUGGUAACAAGUUAUUGAAUCUAACAUUCAUUUAUUCGAUCCCUAUACUCCUAAAAUCUCCCUGUGAAAAACAUUUACCACCUUUGCAAAUAUAACAGUCUUCAUUAAGUUCAAUUAAGGCCGCAUUCCUCAUUGAAGGGUAUAUAUUUGACAUGUGAAAGAUGUGUCUAGACCUAAAGAAAAAAUAAAAAAUGAGAAGAUCCAUCCAGAGUUUACAUCUCAGAAAGAAAUAAAAUUGCACAAUCUUCACGGAACCGAAAGUCUUUAGAUUCAUAAGCAAAGUGUGCCACAAAGUCCAAGCCUUAGAGAGUAAUUGGUCAAUGGACUACUUCAAGCUAGGUUAGCUUUCCUUGUUGCUAGAGCAAUUUGUCUACUUCAAGCUUUAUUAAGAGUAUAGUUCCUUGUGACUAACUCUAGAAAUCAAAUGCUUAGAGUAAAGAACUUUGAAUUAGGUGGUCAAUCUCAUGUAAACUAGAUAUUACUUCACAUUUACGCAAUACCAACUAGCGGCCGUAUACAUUGUACACCUACAUAAAAGGUUAUCUAACUCAUCAAUUAAAGAGGACUAUUUUGCAGAAAGAACAGUCAGUUUCCAUGUUUGGUAUAAUACCAAUCUCCAAAGAGUGAGGCGUGCAUCCAAGUAAACCCAGGGUGUGAUUAAUAUGAACCCACUGUUCUGUUACCAUAUACCACAUUACUCUCUUUGACUCGAAAUUUCAACCCAACAUCCAAAACUACAGAAUUGAAGAAGAAGCAUUGCAUAAAAUAUAGGCUAUAUAACCAUGUAAUACACAAUUAAUGAGUCAAAUUUAUUCAUGCAACACUGAAAUAAGACCCAAGAGCAAUAGAGCAAUUUACCAAGGAAGGAGCACCACUCAAAUAAAACAUGUAGGAAAACACAACUCACCCCUCAGAAAUAUAAGACCAACAAAUUCAAAUGCUAAGGGCAUUAUCAAAAUCAGUUGCAAUGUGUAAAGGUAACUUAGCAUUGAUGGCAUAGUUUCCAUUACAAAACUUGGAUAUUGAAGAACUUUUUUCCAUUUCAAGACCUAGGGAAUUACUCCAGUCGUCCAUUUCAGGGCAUCUAACACAUUCAGUCUAAUUGUACAUAGGAAAGACCUUUAAAACAUCAAUACUGCACUAAUGCAUAGCCUAAUCGAACUUGCACAAUCAAAAGUAUUACUACAGUUACCACAAGUCACUUGUUUUUGUUUAUUUCAUUAUAAUUGUAACCAGAAGAUAAAAUCAGACACUCAUUAAUGUGCUACCACAAAGAGUAAAGUUAAUUUAGUAGUUUUAUUGAUUCUUAUCUGUUAUUGUUAUCUUGCUUCUCUAGUUCAGAAUCUAAGUGGGUAAACUGUUGGUUUCUAAUGAUGAAGGGUUAAAAAACAAAGAAUAGCAUCAGUAUAGCCACAUCAAUUUGGCCUUUUAUGAAUGAAAAAGGAACUUCAAAAGUUGGAGAACCUUAUCCUUCAAGAAUCAAUUUCAGAAGAGAAAAAUACGCAAUUAGGAGGCUAAGAUGGAGAUCUGCCCUCAACAACUCCAAAAGCAUUGUGGCUAUCUAACUACAGCACACCAACCACAUUGCUCACAAAGCUUUUGACGGGGUUAAUGUUCACAGCUUGUGUACAUUUCCUGUUAAUGGGCAGUGCACACUAAUCUAAUUUGGUUUUGUAGAAAUUUCUACCUGUUUGUGCUCAAGAUUUUGACAAAAAGUGUUUAUUUUAUGCCCAUACAUAUAAAAAGAUAAACUUCCAAAUAACUCCACCUUUAUGAGUACAAUAUCACCAAACUAGCGACACCUCAAGCCUACUAGAAAGGUCUUACAAAAUUGCUGUUGUCAAUAGCAUUGACAGCAGAAUAGCGACGUCUCAAUAUCACCAAAACAGCAUUGUCAAUAACUGUACAAUAUCACCAAAAUAGCGACGUCUCAAGCCUACUAGAAAGGUCUUCAAAAUUGCUGCUGUCAAUAGCGUUGAGUGACACCUCAUCUCAUACUAAUUGAAUAAUUACUUAAAUCAUGAGCAAUUAUUUGAACAGGUUGAGAAUUAAAAGGCUUCCAGGCCUAGCACCAAGUAAAACACAUUAUGAGUUUUUAAAACUCCAGUCUUCCUGUAAAUGAAGUUAAAAACAUCAGUCUGCUUAUAAAUGAGGUUUCUGGAGGAAAUUAGUAAUGCUUAAUAAGAUCUUGUUAGCUGACCCUAUGAGGUUUUCCAUGAAAUCUCCACUCUUGCUGGGCAUUUGAGAAGUACUUCUAUGAGAUUGCUACAACGAGAAAAAUUGAAAUCAUAAAUUUAGGCCUCCAACAUUGUCAAGGCUUUCCCAGCAUAACUCUUGCACAUGGUUUAAUUAAUCCUGUGAACAACUAAGGGAAAGACAUCAACGUUUGGCUCCAGGGUGCCAGAAAUUACAUGCUGCUCUGGAAUUAGAUCUGCCAUUUGAUAUAAUCCCAAAGCAUGCUUACAGUUAUUAUAGUACGUCAACUAAUUCAAGUAGGACGGACCUGAAGUCUUAAGAGCUACAACAAAAUUACACCCUUCAACGUGUAGGUCUGUAGCUAAAACCAUUGUAAGACACCAAAUGUUCUUCAGAGGUAGGGAAGAAGCUGAGAUCUAAACAGGAAUAACAGAUAAACAAUCUUCCACAUUUACUUACAGCCAUUGCAUUGCAUUAAAUAUUUCCUCAACAAGUGGCUGCUGAGUGUUGACCCAAGCAACUAAGAGCACGAUAAACACCUAUCUUCUACACAGGCUGAAAACCAUCCACUUAUGGUAAACUUUGACAACUAUAAUAAUUUAUUUAAAAUGUUGUGCAAGGAACUUGGAAACUCAGGCAUUUAGUUUUAAUAGGGUUAAAAGUCAAAAGUGGUCAAAAGAAUAUAGUAUGAUUGGUAGUUCAGCCAAUUCUGCACUCCAUGCUCUUAGAUUAUAAUGGAAGGCCUGGUAAAACAUACAGGAAACUGCAAUAAUUGUUCCAAUCUAACGUUCCUGCUUGGCAGCACUGGCUUGCUUACAGUGAUCUUGCAAAGUCAGACUGUCUAUGGAGCUAAGCAAAUAUAUGCUAGUACAUUUCCUAGCCACUGGAACUAGAGGAGCAGCUUGGAAAAAAUGCAAGGGAUUCCAUUAAUGCUGCUGCAGUGAAGCGUGGGAAUACUUUGCACGAAUAUACAUCUAGACAUGGGGCGUUCAAAAGAAGAAAUUUCACAAUAACAGCAAGCAUAACAGUAUCUUCCUACUUCUUUAGAAUCUCCAUGGGCAGACAAGCUUGUACCUGAUACUUGAACCAUUAAGGCUCCAUCACCACCUGAUUCAUUGAAAAACUAUUGUAGGACUCCUUAAAGAUACAGUGAAAUGAACUCUACAGAAUUAGAAGAUCUUGAGCCAAAAUUGGAAAAUAUUCAGGGUAGAUACCUACACCUACAUCUUCCAAAAUCAUUUUCAUCCCUUGGGUGUUGUUAAACAACAUCAAAGGAAGAAUGAACUCAGGAAUAUGUUAAAGUUUCAGAAUUUUACAAGGACCAAACUUCAAGAAUAUUCCAUUCUCUGGCCAAGAUAGCCUUUCAUCACAAACACAGGAGAGUAAAAGGAGAACAUAUAACAUGGAGGAUGAGCAUAAAUUACGGGAACUCGCUGGCAUUUCACAAAAGUAUCAACUAGAAUGUAAAAUGAGAAUAGUACUUCUAAAAGUAAUAACUAAAAAUACUUCAAAUCAACUAAAAGCCAAGGACGGCAAUAGACUAACACAUUAUAUAGAAACUAAUUGAGGAAGAACCAUUAUUGAUGAUGUAAAAGAAUGUCACAGUUUUGAAAUCACCAACUAAAAGUUUUUAGAACAAUUCUUGAAAGUGCGUUUAGUAAGUAAAUCAAUCAAAUCCAUUUCCAAUUAUUUGUCCAAUCAAUGCCGAAUCUUCAAAUAGCCCGUGUCUGCAUCUGAUAAACAAUGCAUUCAAUGACAAGCAACAACCUUUUGUCAGAUGACUCAGAAAACUGUGUCUCGAACAUUUUCAAAAUUAAAUGAUCACAUCACAGGAAAAUAGAUACUUAUCCAGACGAUUUAGGCAACUUAAUCAAGCCCAACCAGUGAUAAAUUUGCUUCCAAGAAUAGCUAGAAGUGCUUAUUGGACUGUAAAAAGAACAACAAAAAUAUAAAAAUAAAAACUGCAGGAACAAAAGGCUGUCAAAUUAAAAUAAAAGAAAAAGCAAUUUGCAUCAAUUCACAACUCAUUAAACAGCUGAAACAACCUAAAAAACAAUGCACCUACAACUGAAACAAGAACUCCAACUUCAAUACCAUAUAAUCAACUCCUACAAUUGACUGGUACAAAACAAAAUAAAAGAAAAAGAUUAAAUCUUCUGAAAAGAGAAAAGGGUAUGAACCUGCAAGUGACAUCUCUCAUGGAAGAGCCAAAGGAGGGUGAUUGGUGAUAGUUUAGGUACCUCUUUGUGGUCUCCAUAAAAGAACUUCUGUCCCUCUUGUUUUAUUUCUCGUUUCUUGUUUCAGUUGAUCAGAGGCUGACUCAGCUGAAGAAUUGAUAGUUACAGUGGAUUAUAUGUGAUUUUUAUUGAAAAAAGAUUUGGAGAAAGCGGAUUGCAGUACUCAUGUAAGGAGGAGUUGGAUAUGAACUGAAAAGGAAUAGCAGUUGGCGUUGUGGGGUCCUGAGGUCAAAUUGACUACAUCAUGUUUUGGGCUUUGAAUGCUCUUUCCACCGUUUAGAAGGGGAUGUGGGACGUGGGGAGCGGGGCAAAAGGGAUUGAUAGCUUAUUAUUAAUUCUUGAGUUGAAUUACUGUAGUUAAAGUUGGAUUGAGUUGAAUUACUGUAGUUAAAAUUGGAUUGAAUUAACUUGUUGGGCGAUAUAUUCGAAGAGACUUGAGUUGAGUUAUAUGUGGUUUGUAUAGUUAAAGUUUGAUUGAAUUAACUAGUUGAGCGACGUACUCAAGAAGACUUCAAUUUAAUAAUUAAAAUUUAGAUUUUAAGGAUUAAAAGUUCUCAAUUCUAAUUUGAGAGAGGCUUUUCACACCCCUCCAUACUAAUUUACAUCUCAUGUACUCAUUAGAUAGGCCCUCGCCCAUUAGAUUUAUUUGAUGCUUCUUGUAGUUUCAAGAAACAUAUAUUGAUAAAACAAAAAAGUGCGAUAAAAUGUUUACAUUGUACAAAAGAAUAUAUUGAAAUAUUUUACAAACACUUAAGAAUAUUAAUUUUUAAUUUAAAAUCUAAUUUAGUAUUCCAAAUUUUUCAAUUACGAACAAGCAUGUAAAUAACAAUAUAUAUAUAUAUAUAUAAUUUUCAAUUCCAUAAAAUUAAAAUCUCUGCAGUUUUGAAGGUCGAACAUGCAAUCAUAACAACUUCUUCAUACUAAUAUCUACAAUUUGAUUAUGCAUAAUUUAGUAACAAAAACAAUUCAAGAAAAUAAAGGUAGUAAAAUCAUAAAAGGAAAGAAAAAAUAGCAAAAACAACUUCAAAAAAACAUAAAUUUUGGAAUGAAAAAUCACAAGUAAAGAAAUUUCUCCAUAGAACUAAUUAAACAUUAGGGUAAAUAAUUUUUUUUUCUUUAGAAAGUAUAUUAUUGCCCUUAAUUUCAUUAUGUAGAAAGAUAGUUUAAAUACUUUAAAAAUUUUUGAAUUAAUGUAUAAGAGUUAAGAGCAUUAAUGUCUAUUAAAUGUAUAGGGUGUGGAAUUAGUACGGAGGGGUGUAGAUUUAACCCGUCCCACCUACUUUUCCUAAUCCCUCCUGGCCGUUUUUUAAAUCUCAUCCCUUCCUUGUUAGAAAAAAUUAAAAAAAAAAAACUAAGAAUGGAAACAUUGACCAAAAUCAACAAAAAUAAAGCAUACACCUACUUCAAGCACUUUUGUUUUGUGUUUUUCAAUGAUUUUGGUCCAGUCAUUGGUUCUGUUAAUCUAAUGCCUAGAUUCAACUGUAUAAACUCCUUUUUUUGUUUUUUGAGCCAGCCGUAUAAACUUUAGUUGUUUUUUUUCCCCAAGGCGGCAAUAAUAUAAACUUUAGUUAAAGACGGGUACAUUUGUUAAAGUUAAGAAAAAUAAGGUGAACUUGAUGGAGAAGCUAUUUUUCAUUCCCUUUUUUUUUUUUUUUUUUUGUAAGCAAGUUUUGAAAUUUGACUCAGUUAGAAUGGUUGAACUCAGGACUUAGACACUUGAUCUGUUUACAUUUUUUGUUCGAGUUGAUUAAACAUUAGAAUGUCUUGGAAAUUUGAUUAAUUUCUCAAUGACUUUCAAAAUUUGUUAAAGGUUGGCUCGGUUGUAUCCUUAUAUUAUAUAAGAUUGAGUUUUGGUGAAAGCGGGGAUUGCAUUUUAACCACACAGGCAGGGACUUUUUGGAAAUGUAAAAUAUUCUAUAGUGUUUUACAAGCUAUAGGUCAUUACUGAAAUAACCUUCACACAUCAUAAGUACGCCGUUUGACUAAUGAUCACUGAACUUGAAAAUCACUUGUAUAGGAAACCCACAAGUAAAAGGGAAUAAGAAAGGCCAACCUUGCUCAACCGUCACCGUGGUUAGAGCUCAGGUGUGGAAGCACCUCCUUUUAGACGUCCUUCUCUAUCAUUUAUACCUGAAUUUAAUGGCAAAAAACGUGAACCUACUAAUGGCUCCUGAGCUUCGGGGAUUGGGUUUCUCUUGCAACUUUUGUCUGAAACAGAAUGUCGCAUCGUUUCCCCUCUCAUCCGAGCUUAUGGCCGAAACAAUUCAUUUCUUUCUCAUUAUAGCCUCAAUUAAAUAACCAGACGUUGAUAAGUUAAUGCCCAACGGUUGCGUCGGUUAUAAUUGUUUCCAUGCAUCCUCUUCACCUUCUUCAGUUUCAAGCUUUUCAUAUUCUGGAAUUGGGAUAUUUUUUUUAUGCCCUUAUACUGCAUAAAUCCUAGGCAUGGAAACAAUCACCGCCCAUUGAAGCAGGAAGUUGCGGAGGGCCCGACCGACAAUCUUUACAAGGGUUAUUAACUUAAUUUGGGAUUUGAUGAGGCUUUCACUUGGCCUCUGCUUCAUUUUGGUCCCAUGGUUUCUUCAUUCUGCUACACCUUGUCUUUAAUCACCUUCUAUUGGUAAGUUAAUGACUCACUCACUUGAAGAUCGACUGAAUGUGGACAUUAGCAGCGCAUAGUCCUUCACCAGAGAACUCCUUCAGCUUACUUGCUUCCUUAAGCCAAAAGCACCAAGAGUAGCUACUCCGACAAGAAAAGGCACCAACAUCCCUGCGUUGCCUCCACUUUCAACUUCAGCAGUCAUAGUAGUUGAAGCAGGAAGUUGCGGAGGGCCCUCGAUCAUGUAUGUUCUACACUCAUCAUGUAGAUGCUGAAGUUGGGACCAAAAUGAAAAAACCACCAAGAAGCAAUGCAUCUGACUGCUGUUUAUUACAGCAUCUACAUGAGUUUACUACUAUUCGUAUCACUAAAUAAGUAGACAUACAUGAUGUCUUAUUUAACCUACUCUGCUAUCUAUCUCGUAGUUUUUACCUAAAACAAUUUCAUAAAUAUUUGUCCGUAUACCUUUGGAAACUUGUUGUAUCUAAUUAUUUGUGUUCGAGAACUUCCUAAUUCUAAUAUUGGAAGACUCUUAUGUUGUUUGUCUUAUAAUCAUACCUGCUUCUAAUUAUUUAUCGCAACGUACUAUUCUCGCAAUGUAUUAUUAUUUGUCAAACCAAAAAACCUUCUUCAACCACAGGCACCAAACACCAGCGCGAUGCGCGAGCACUCCUCCCCUAGUAUUUGAAUUAAAAUCAGUUGAGGUUUCAUCUAGUCAAACUUUUGAUGUUGAGUAACCUGAUUUUUUCUAUUUAAUUUGCAAGUUUUUCUUUUUCGAGCGUCUCCUCCUUCUCUUUAAAACUCUUUUCUUCUCUCUCUAUGUAGAAGUAUCUCAGUCAAAAUUUCCUUCAUCUCUCUCAUGGGAGAGAGGCUAAAUCUAGUCUUUUCCCCAUGAGAAGGAAAACUCUCUCUAAUUUUUAAUUUCUCUUAUUUGAAUCAAUUCUUUCUUAGGGUUUCCUAGUGAGAGAUUCUUCUCUCUUACAAUCUCCUAAUAAGAGUUUUUUCUUCCAUAAAUUGUUCUAGUGAAAAUUUUAUUUUCUCUUGGGUUUUUCCUUGUGAGGGUUAUUUUAGUUUUUAUCUUUUUUUGUGAAAGUUGAGAUUUUGUAAAUUUAAAAUCAAAUUUCUCAGAUCUGCAAUCUUUUUUAUUAUUGUCAAAUCUAAAUUUCUCCUUAACUUGAACUAGUUUUAAUCAAAUUUGACUGUCAUAAAACAUGCACUGAUGUAUUGGGUACGAUGAUUUAUCCGAAUGAAAAAUAUGUAGAAGCAUUAAUGUCAUCUUUAUUUGUAUUGAUUUUUUAGCUACAUUGUAUCUAUUGAUUUCAAAUAUAUAUGUAUAUGUGCCAUGUUUGUUUGAAGUAUUUUAUGCCAUUAUUGGAGAUUUAUUAAAUGAAAUGAUCUUUUCUAUCAAAAAAAUAAAUCUAAUCUUUUGUAAGGAUUAAUUACACUACAACCUCCUAAACUCCUCCUGUUGCACUUUUCCCCUUAAACCUAAAAUCUUCUAAUUGAUUUGCAAGUAUUAUUUUUUUUAUCAAGCUAAUAUUUUUGUUAGGGCUAAUUACACCUUAACCCCUGAAACUCCUCUCUAGUUGCACUUCUUUCCCCUUAAACCUAAAAUAUACACACUUUGCCCUUUCAGAAAGUUUGUCAACUCAAAAGAAGUAUGAAAAUUCUCAAUUUUAUUGUGACAUGACAAACGUGACCUUAAAAAAAUUACUUUCAGACAUCUUAUCUUUUGGUGCAUAGUGAAGGUCUUGUUCGACAAACGGAUUGACCAAUGUUAAGAAAUUGGAAAGAAUGGGAAAAAUGUUUAAGGCGAUCAACCUUUUUAUUUUAUUUUUUCACUUAGGGAUAUCUCGACCUUCGGCCAGACUAAUCCUCUAAAACUGUUUAGAAUAUUGUCUCGAUAACACACAGCAAGAUAGCACACAGGGAUCGAUCACAAGACCUGCUAGUAACUAUCACGCUACGGAAUCAGGCUGUGUAAUCAACCUUUUUAAGUUGUGCAAUUUCUUGAAGAAAAGUUGAGAUACCAAUAACUUUACUACAUAUUGUAUGCUAAAAGUGAAUUCAAACAAAAAGGUGGAUUAAAUGAGGCUUGGCCUGUCUAAUUAACAAAAUUGCCUUGCCUUAUUAUUAGAAAUGAAGUCAACAAGAAGCUAGAUAAACGAAACCUCAUUCAUAAGCUUAUUAGAUUGCAUUUUUGCAUAUUGGAAUUCAAUUUGCAAUGACUAAACUUGGGAUGGAUGUCUAUGUGAUUCUUCGACUAGAUUAUUGUAGGAACUAAAUUACAUUCUUGUACCUUAUAUGUAUUUUGAUCACUUUUUUCAAAAAAUAAAGAUCCAAAAUCGCCUUUUUGGAUGGUCCACGAAUUUUGAGAAUUCUUACCUACCUAGAGAAAGAUUUUGAAAAUUCUGCAUUAAAGUCAAGACCUAUUCAAACAGAUUUGCUUUUUUUUUUUUAAUCCCCUUUUAUCUUUAUAAUUUCCAUGCUUGAAAUAAUGAACAUGUCCAAGAAACACACAAUCAGCUGCCAUGCAGCAGCCUAAGAGAUUCAACAGAACAUCAGUGAUGGAAUUUUUUUGAUCUUGAUAAUCAAGCCUAAAAUUGGAAGCCACAAUAGUUAAUUUAUCCCUGACAAUCUGACUGAAAUCAUGCAUGCCAUGUACACACUCAAGGAAACUAGUUUGAUCCCUACCAUUGAAGUUAACAACGGCUAUACAACACAUCUAUAUUUAUAUAUAAAUGAAGAAAAAGAACUCAAGCUCCUUAUAUAAAAGUUGUUACACAAUUCUAAAUCCAGUUAUGCAUCUUCCUCAUCAGUCACGAAUUUCCCUGUUCCUGGAUUUAUUGCUGCAACGAAGAAAAAGACAACAUUGAAUAUAAUUAGGGGUUCAAUUUCA
This 15338-nucleotide long non-coding RNA is filed under the name Coffea arabica (coffee). RNAcentral describes it as "long non-coding RNA (CARA_LNC007229)". The record is from RNAcentral. Lineage: Eukaryota; Viridiplantae; Streptophyta; Magnoliopsida; Gentianales; Rubiaceae.